UACAGAAAUGAGAGAUCCCGAAACACUUUUUUUCUUUUCCUUUGUCCGGUCUAACCUUAUUUGGGGUUUUAACAAAAAACAUUCAGAAAAAUCGAAGGCCGCCAUCUUUGUCUUAUUAUUUCGCUUUCGUUCUCCAUCGGAACCGAUUCCCACGUUUUCUCUUCAUUUCGUGCGGUUGAAAUGAAAUUGUUGGAACAUAUCAAUAAAACAUUGCCUCGCGUCGUUAGGUUAGGUAUUGUUUUCUUCCAGAUGGAGCCACCACCCAGUGCAAACAAAGAAGAAUAUUGCCAGCAAGUCCUUCUUCAUCUUUCACCUCAAUACUUUUAUCUGACGAUAACUAAUUUUCGAAGCCAUAUAAGGAGAUUGUCGUACCAAAGCCUCGACCUCAAUCUACGUCGGUGAACAAAUUUCAGCGGUUGAUUCAUCGUCACUAGCUUCCUGUCAAUGGCAAACUCAUAUAUAAUGCUAGCCUGUUUAAGUUUGAAUUAAGAUUUUCCAACUGUAACUAAACCUGAAGGUCUUUAAUAACGAACUGUGUGUGGCGCCAGUCUACAAAAGUUGAAAGUUAACCUAAGGAAAACCUGUCGCAAGGAAAACGGGUUUUGUCUUUGACGUCAAAAGAGUUGCGAGCUAAAGUCCACAGGUCGGUCGGGCUUUUCCCGUUGUUGCCUAAGAACAACUUUGCCGCCCUCGGGGUUCAUACUUCAUAGUUUUAAAUAGCUGCUGGAGGAGGAUUCCUCCCAGCAACCACCCAGCAGAAGACACCUAUCCGACUAUUUGCUUGUAAGUUUGAAUAUAAAGUAAAUCACGACUUGAACGAACUCUAGUCGUGUGUGUAUACGAAUGGAGAAAGGCCUGGUUUUUAUCUUCCAGGUCGGGUAGAAACUAGCACAAAUAAAAGAGCCAAGUAAAAGAAACGAUGGAAUGGAAAAAGGUGCAACGGUCACAUAUAGCCUGCAGGCGGUUUUGUGUUCGCCCCUCAAAUUCUCCCCCUCGAGGCCGCCCUCGUAAACAAAUAGGAAACAGACGUGAAUUCCCUAGCAUCUGCCGUAAAGUUGGUCACACCUCGCACCACCAUAGAACAUUUAAAAAUUUAAAAUGAUGGGAUUUUGUCCUGGCUUUUAAAGCCAUCUCCAAGGAAACUCGUGUGUUUUCUACAGGUGAGAUCAUGAUUGUAUCAAGGUCAUUUCUGUGGAAAUGCUUAACCCCCCUCCAUCUGUAAAAGCCUCGUCCUCCCAUAUGCAUAGAGUUUGCCGUGCUCAUUCUAGUUAGAUGAUGAUAGUCGAGCUGGUGGGCUGAGGGGAAAAUUCUCAACUGACAGCACUCAUCUAUCAAACGUAAAGAAAACAAAAAACUAAACUCAGGGAAUGUUUAUUUCCUUUUAAAUCUUUUCUUGCAUGGAAGAAGGAAACACCUCAAACAUUCAUUUUGAGGUUUUUUGGUUCAAACCUAGAUAAGUCAUAAGUGACGUUGCGUCAGCUUCCUCUACGAAAAUUUCCCCUCGAAUCCACAAAAAAUUAUUUCAAUAUAACCAGUUGAAUCGAAAAGCGAUGAGAAUGAUUAAAGGAAACUACAUGAAAAAACAAUGGAAACUUUAAGGUCUUGAAUUCGUUAUGGCAUCUACCGCUUCGUGAAAUAGGAAACGACAUUUUCGGGCUCGAUGUAAAGAGGAAAUUCUCAAUUUACUCACGCACGUUAGUCCAUACGGGAACGAGAUAUCAGUUUAUUUUUUUAUUUUUAUUUAGAUUUUAGUUUUGAGAUAAUAUAAUAACAAUAAUAUUGAGCUAUUUUACGCCAACGCCAUCUACAGACCACAUGACUUAUUAUAAACAGAAUUAAACCGAAAGAAAGCUUAAGUUCAAAAGUGGAGUAAUGACGUCGUGAAUCCAAUGUUGAAAUUUAAAAGUCACCACUAUUUAUAUUCAAAAAAAAUACAUAAUAUGCCCCGCCUGUGAUUUUUCCGUCGUGAGAGAAUGCCGAGUUCGUGACGAAGCUGAAUCUGUGCUUGUCAAGUGAUAGACAAACAAUAGCCUGAUCCUUCUCAACCCCGUGAAUCGCCCAAAUAGAAAGUUUAUGGUUCGUUCGCGUUAUUGCAGUCUCAUCGUGAGGACGAGUAACGUUACAAUAGACAGAAUAAUUCCUAGGGUAUGCAAUCCAGCUUAUGUAAUCAUCUUUGAGCCAUAUAUUUAUUUAAAAGACACGACAUCAAGGAGCCCAACGCCUAAACCCGCGAUGAAGUAUAUGCCGUUGUUAAACUGUUGGCAGUUCAAUAUUGUGUGCGCAUUUAUUCCUUGACUUAUUAUUUUCUAAAAUUGAUUUGCCUUUGUGAUGUGUAAAAGAAUAAAUAAAGCUCGAAUCGGUAAUGUACAGGGACUCCCAAGUCUGGAUUACACACUUGUAUUCGCAUUUCAAAACAUGUUAAAAUAUUGAAAACCCAUGAAAAAGGAAAGCUUUCGCUAUUGGCCUAACUUGUAGGAUCUUGUCACAAUUAACUGCGAAGAGCUUGAAAUUGUCGAAAAGUGUCAAGAAUAUUGCCAUCCAAAUCGUGUGUGAAGAGAAGGGUUUCCAACGUUUGACUGUACUUUUCCACCUGCUCAUGAUGCUGCAUAUUUUCAAAGAAAUUAUUCAAAAUAAAUUUGAAAUGAAUGAAUUAAAAUGAAUUAAUAUAUAUAAUACAUACCGCCAUGAAAACUUGCUGCAAUCUUCCAACAGUCCAUUGAUACCAAAAUGUGUUGAAAUCCUUGCCAUCUGUAUCGCAACGAACGACGUGCUCCGACAAAAUCAUGAUGAAACGCUG
This 2797-nucleotide long non-coding RNA is filed under the name Daphnia pulex (common water flea). RNAcentral's name for it is "uncharacterized LOC124195450". The record is from RNAcentral. Lineage: Eukaryota; Metazoa; Arthropoda; Branchiopoda; Diplostraca; Daphniidae.